AAUAAGUGCAGUUUUGUACUAUCCACAUUCAACGUUUGACCGUUCGUCUUAUUUGAAAGUUUUUAUGAUUAUUAUUUUUAUUGCUAUUAGAUGAUAAAACGUGAAUAGUACUCUAUAUGUGACUAAAUACUUUUAAAAUUUUUUCAAAUAAGACGGACGAUCAAACGUUGGGCACGGAUAUCCACGGCUGCACUUAUU
Molecule: non-coding RNA, 198 nt
Organism: Oryza glumipatula
Lineage: Eukaryota; Viridiplantae; Streptophyta; Magnoliopsida; Poales; Poaceae
Source: Rfam